Molecule: long non-coding RNA, 3634 nt
Filed under: Homo sapiens (human)
Lineage: Eukaryota; Metazoa; Chordata; Mammalia; Primates; Hominidae
Description: HSALNT0026862
Source: RNAcentral
CUGGGGUGCGGGAGGAGGUGGGAGGGUGAGGCUGUGGCCAGCAGGAGCCAGGCCUCAGGGUGCCAGCCUGGACCAGGAGCAUGUGCUGGGGGCUUGCUUUCCGCAAUCAGGCACUUUUUCAAGUUGGUCCUGAACGGUUCUGGACUGGAUGGCAGGCUGCUGUGUGUGAUUGAGAAUGUUGCCUGUCUGAGCCCUGAGAUGAGCUGAGGGUUCCUCCUCCCCAGCCAGCACCAGCCUCACACAGCCCUUGUAAAUCUGAAAGUGCUGUUGGUAGCAACCAGGGAUGGGCAGAGGCAGCCCUGUCCUGAGGGUGACAUGAAAGUGAGAGCAAGCUGAAGCUCCAGUUGGCUUAGUCUUCAAAAGUGUCACUUUCAGAUUAUAUCCCUCAGCUUUAAAAUAUCCUUCUUUGAAGUCCAUCCUGCUCUGCCCACUAUUUGUCCCCGGUGGUCACUUCCUCCUCUGUGCUCCCGUGGCCUGGGAUUCACACCAGGAAAGAACGCCACGAAGAAGGAAUGACAAGAAAAUGGAGGCAAAGAACAUUGGAGUCACUCCCUGGCUACACACACUGAGGUGAUAACCAAGGUGCUCAAAAAGGGCCGGUGUGCCGCAGUGAGUGCCAGUUUGAAUGAAGGAAGCAUGCGUGGCCUGAAGCCUCACCGUGUUCCAGGCGUCCAGUUAAGUGCUCUGCACAUAAUAUCACACAUUGCGCUCCACGAUAAGAACAAAUUCUCACAUGGGAACCGAGCAAAGUGUAAUGGAUGUUCCCAGGAGCUGCCUAUGGGAUUCAAGAAAACUGUAUGAGAGGAGUAACAUUUGGGCUGGAAGCGAAAAUACAAGUAAACAUAUGUCAAAUGGGGUCUGGAAAGCAAUCCUCCACAGAAAGAAAGCAGAAUCUUCUGGGCAUUUCUGAGCAAGUGGACUUCCUUCAGCUGAGCACAGUCCUCAGGAGAAGCGGACAGGUGCAAAGUGUUGGAAGCCAACACUCACAGCAGUUGGGGGUUGGAGUGCUCUGGCUUCCAACAGCAUUGAAACCAACAGCAUUGACUACAGCGAGUUUCUCAAUCUUCAGAACACAUCCCAGCCUCCCUGGGGGCUGCUAAUGCACAGAUUGCCGUUUCCCACUCCAAGAGUUUCUGAUUCCAGAGGUCUGGGGUAGGGCUCGAUAAUUUGUUCUUCUAACCACCUAAUGCUGUUGGUCCAGUGACCACACUUUGAGAAAUGCUGUACUAUGUUUUCUCAUAUAUUUAAAAAUUCUCACCUCAUUUAUGGUUUAAAACUUCUAGAACAAUUCUGAAUAGUUUUUGUAAUAGUGAGCCUCACUUUCCUGUCUCUGCCCUUAAUGGGAAUGUCUCUAAUGAUUCACCUUUCAUACGGGGACUUGUUGUGGUUUACUGGGCAAUUCCUUUUGGCAGGUUAAAAAAAUUCCCUCUGUUUCAAGCUAAAGCCAUUUACCAGGAAGAGACGCUAAGUUUUAUCAGAGGGUUUUUCCAGUAACUAUUGUGAUAAUCAUGGUUUUUUUUCCUAUUUAUUACGAUAUCAAACAUGAAACUUAUUUGAAGUCCUGGAUUAAACGGUGCUUGUUUUCUAUAAUGUUUUGUUCCUUAAAUGUACUGACAAAUUUAAUUUAUUAUUUUUUUAGGAUUUGAGGUACAAGUUCAUACGUGAUAAUGACUUACUGUUUUGUUUUCAUUAUUUCCUCCUUCCAUCCUUUCUUGAUAUCCUUUUUAUCUCUUGGUUUCAAAAUUACACUAGCGUCAUAGAAUGAGUUGGAAAUUAGCCCAUUAUUCUCCAUGCCAUGGAGUGUUUUGCAAAACAUAAGAAUGAUCAGUUCCUUACAUAUUUGGUAGAAUUUACCUUAUAAAACACAGUAGGUUUUGUGUCUCUUCUGGAGUCCAGAUACUGCUAUGGACUGAAUGUUUGUACCCUCUAAGAUUCAUUAGGUUGAAAUCCUAGCCUCAAAGUGGUGGUAUUAGGAGGUGGGACUUUUGGGAGGUGAUCAGGCCAAGAGGGUGGAGCCCUCAUGAAUGGGAUUAGUGCCCUUAUCAAAUAAGGCAAAAGGAGCUCUUUAACCUCUCCCACCAUGUGAGGACAAAGUGAAAAGACACCAUCUAUGAACCAGGAAGCAGGGCCUCACCGGAUGCCAAACCUGCCAGCACCUGGCCCUUGGACUUCCAGCCACCAGAACUGUGAAGAAGAAAUUUCUAUUGCUUAUAAAUACCCAGUUUACGGCAUUCUGUUAUAGAAGUGCCUAAUAGGCUAAGGCAAAUACUAUAUGGUAUUUAGGAUUGCUUCUGUAUAUUUUUAAGACUUUUUUAUUUUGGAAUAAUAAUAAUUCACAGAAAAUUUACAGAGAAAGUCUCCACAUGCCCCUCACCCCACUUCCCCUAAUGUUAACAUAACCGUGGUCCAUUUGUCAAAACUAAGAAAUGAGGAUUGGUACCAUACUAUUGACUGAAUUACAGACAUUACUUGGAUUUUGUCAAUUGUUUUACUAAUAUUCUAUUAUUUCUGUGUCAGAUUCCAAUCUGGAUAACAUGUUGCAUUUGUUCAUCACGUCUCCUUUGUUUUUCCUGGGCUGUGACAGUUUCUUAUUCUUUUCUUGUAUUGCCUGGCUUUGAAUUUUGAGGAAUUCUGGUUAAGUAUUUUGUAAACUGUCACUAAAUUUUGCUUGUCAGAUGUUUUCUCCUGGGUUAGACUGGGCUUACAGGUUUUGGGGAAGAACUCUACAAAAGGGAAAUGUCUUUCUCAUCUCAUCUAAUAAAUGGAUAUAGGAUAUCAACUUAACUUAUUCCUGGCAAUGGUAAUCUUGACAUCAUGGUUAAGGGAGUACCUGCCAAGUUACCACAAGGAAAGUUUCUAUUUUUUCAUUCUUAUACUCAAUUCUUUGGAAGCAAGUCACGAAGUCCAGCUCACACUCAAAAAUAGGGAAAUUAAACCUUACCUUUUUGCAUAGGGGAUACGAACUUUAAAAAAAACAAUCUUCUGAAAGGAGUCUUGUCUCUUGUAGUUCCAUGUUUAAUGCUAUCAUGUAUUUGUUUUUAUUAAUAUGAACUCAUAAAUACUCAUUUUAUUGGAAUAAUCCAUUAUCAUAUAUUUUGUUGCUCAGAGUAUUCCAGCUUUGACCACUGGGCUUUUUCAGGUUGACUUCUGUGUCCUUUUGACUUGCCCCCAUCUAUUAUUAUGUAUUUUUUUUUAGCAGUUUCUUACUUUUGUCACUUCAAGAUGUUCCAGACUUAGUUUGUAUUUUUCUUACUCCAUCUUUAGAAUCAGCCAUUUCUUUAAGGAGCUUUGGGUUCUUUUAUUGGAGAGUGGUAUUUGGAAACCAAGAUCUGGGCAUUAGGUAUGCUCAUUGCUACCGGGAUGUCACUGCUUCUAGGCCCUCUCAGCUGGACAGAGGUAUGACAUACAUGUGUGUAAAUUAAUCUACAUAUAUCGACAUAUCUAUAAUUAGCUCUGUCAUAUUCACUAUUUAAUUUACAACCUCUUUUUUUGGUAGAUGUUUGCAAUCCAUAUUUUACUUACUGAUUAACAGUUUUAAUUUUUGGUAACAAUUCAUAAAAUAGAAAAUUGCAAUUUUAAUAGAGCUUUUCCAAAUCUGGAAUUAUAUACUCUCUCUGGAGUAUACAUUAUUCAU